This 242-nucleotide ribosomal RNA is filed under the name uncultured bacterium. Its description in RNAcentral is "partial 16S ribosomal RNA". It matches the Rfam family "Bacterial small subunit ribosomal RNA", at positions 92 to 334 of the family's 1533-position model. The record is from RNAcentral.
AAAGCGGCGGACGGGUGAGUAACGCGUAGGCAACCUGCCCUUUGCAGAGGGAUAGCCUCGGGAAACCGGGAUUAAAACCUCAUAAUACCGCAGAGAGACAUCUCACGGCGGUCAAAGAUUUAUCGGCAAAGGAUGGGCCUGCGUCUGAUUAGUUAGUUGGUGGGGUAACGGCCUACCAAGGCGACGAUCAGUAGCCGACCUGAGAGGGUGACCGGCCACAUUGGGACUGAGACACGGCCCAA